This 365-nucleotide transfer-messenger RNA is filed under the name Lactobacillus rodentium. It matches the Rfam family "transfer-messenger RNA". From Rfam's summary of the family: Bacterial tmRNA, also known as 10Sa RNA or SsrA, is named for its dual tRNA and mRNA-like properties. Its role is to liberate the mRNA from a stalled ribosome. To accomplish this part of the tmRNA is used as a reading frame that ends in a translation stop signal. The record is from RNAcentral. Lineage: Bacteria; Bacillati; Bacillota; Bacilli; Lactobacillales; Lactobacillaceae.
GGGGCUGUUUUGGGAUUCGACAGGCGUAGAUUUGCAUUGACUGCGGUUCGUAGGUCACGUCUACGUAAAAACGUCACAGUUUAAAUAUAACUGCAAAAAAUAAUAAUUCUUACGCAGUAGCUGCUUAGUCAGCCUGUGUGAUCUAAUGAUGGUUUGCUUGUGAUGAUCAUUAGGUUUUACCAUUUAGCAAGCUACGUUUAACUACCUCACCUGAAUAGUUAAAAAUAAGAUUGACUAGGUUAGCCAUAACUUUUUUGCCCUGUUAUAUGGCGUGAAGUUACGGUGAACUCAAGUAAUAUAACUAUAAUCGUAGAGGUUAAUGACAAAAUGCGUUUGGACAGGGGUUCAAUUCCCCUCAGCUCCAC